Molecule: ribosomal RNA, 520 nt
Filed under: uncultured bacterium
Lineage: Bacteria
Description: partial 16S ribosomal RNA
Rfam family: Bacterial small subunit ribosomal RNA
Source: RNAcentral
GACGAACGCUGGCGGCGUGCUUAACACAUGCAAGUCGAACGGACUACUUUGCUUCGGUAAGGUGGUUAGUGGCGAACGGGUGAGUAACGCGUAGACAACCUACCUCUUAGAUGGGGACAACAUCGCGAAAGCGGUGCUAAUACCGAAUGAAGUUACUUUCCUGCAUGGGAGAGAUACUAAAGGUGGCCUCUAUUUAUAAGCUACCACUGAGAGAUGGGUCUGCGUCUGAUUAGCUAGUUGGCGGGGUAACGGCCCACCAAGGCGACGAUCAGUAGCCGGUCUGAGAGGAUGAACGGCCACAUUGGGACUGAGACACGGCCCAAACUCCUACGGGAGGCAGCAGUGGGAAAUCUUCCGCAAUGGACGAAAGUCUGACGGAGCAACGCCGCGUGAGUGAAGAAGGUUUUCGGAUCGUAAAGCUCUGUUGUUUGAGACGAAUGUGCCUGUUUCGAAUAGGGAUAGGUAAUGACGGUAUUAAACGAGAAAGCCACGGCUAACUACGUGCCAGCCGCCGCGGUAA